RNAcentral lists this ribosomal RNA (488 nucleotides) under Escherichia coli. RNAcentral's name for it is "bacterial SSU rRNA". It matches the Rfam family "Bacterial small subunit ribosomal RNA", at positions 1 to 478 of the family's 1533-position model. The record is from RNAcentral. Lineage: Bacteria; Pseudomonadati; Pseudomonadota; Gammaproteobacteria; Enterobacterales; Enterobacteriaceae.
AAAUUGAAGAGUUUGAUCAUGGCUCAGAUUGAACGCUGGCGGCAGGCCUAACACAUGCAAGUCGAACGGUAACAGGAAGCAGCUUGCUGCUUCGCUGACGAGUGGCGGACGGGUGAGUAAUGUCUGGGAAACUGCCUGAUGGAGGGGGAUAACUACUGGAAACGGUAGCUAAUACCGCAUAAUGUCGCAAGACCAAAGAGGGGGACCUUCGGGCCUCUUGCCAUCGGAUGUGCCCAGGUGGGAUUAGCUUGUUGGUGGGGUAACGGCUCACCAAGGCGACGAUCCCUAGCUGGUCUGAGAGGAUGACCAGCCACACUGGAACUGAGACACGGUCCAGACUCCUACGGGAGGCAGCAGUGGGGAAUAUUGCACAAUGGGCGCAAGCCUGAUGCAGCCAUGCCGCGUGUAUGAAGAAGGCCUUCGGGUUGUAAAGUACUUUCAGCGGGGAGGAAGGGAGUAAAGUUAAUACCUUUGCUCAUUGACGUUAC